This 769-nucleotide ribosomal RNA is filed under the name uncultured bacterium. RNAcentral's name for it is "bacterial SSU rRNA". It matches the Rfam family "Bacterial small subunit ribosomal RNA", at positions 634 to 1397 of the family's 1533-position model. The record is from RNAcentral.
UGCCGUUCUUGAGAGAUGCAGAGGAGACUGGAAUUCCCGGUGUAGCGGUGAAAUGUGUAGAGAUCGAGAGGAACACCGGUGGCGAAGGCGAGUCUCUGAGCAUCUCCUGACGCUGAGGCGCGAAAGCGUGGGGAGCAAACGGGAUUAGAUACCCCGGUAGUCCACGCUGUAAACGAUGACGACUAGGUGUAGGGUGGUUCAGUCCAUUCCGUGCCGCAGCUAACGCAUUAAGUCGUCCGCCUGGGGAGUACGGCCGCAAGGUUGAAACUCAAAGGAAUUGACGGGGGCCCGCACAAGCGGUGGAGCAUGUGGUUCAAUUCGAUGCAGAGCGAAGAACCUUACCUGGGCUUGACAUGCUGGAAGUAGAACCCUGAAAGGGGAACGACCUGUUAAGUCAGGAGCCAGCACAGGUGGUGCAUGGCCGUCGUCAGCUCGUGCCGUGAGGUGUUGGGUUAAGUCCCGCAACGAGCGCAACCCUUACCCUAUGUUGCCAACGGUUCGGCCGGGCACUCUUAGGGGACUGCCGGCGAAGAGCUGGAGGAAGGGGGGGAUGACGUCAAGUCCGUAUGCCCCUUAUGCCCAGGGCUACACACAUGCUACAAUGCGCGGUACAGAGGGUUGCCAACUCGCAAGAGGGAGCCAAUCCCCCAAAGCCGCGCUCAGUUCGGAUUGCAGGCUGCAACUCGCCUGCAUGAAGUCGGAAUCGCUAGUAAGCGCAGAUCAGCAGGCUGCGCUGAAUACGUUCCCGGGCCUUGUACACACCGCCCGU